Molecule: long non-coding RNA, 5267 nt
Filed under: Mus musculus (house mouse)
Lineage: Eukaryota; Metazoa; Chordata; Mammalia; Rodentia; Muridae
Description: long non-coding RNA chr16:41115494-41120761
Source: RNAcentral
UUGCUUAUAUGUCUAUGCACCACAUGACUGUAAAGGCUAAAAUAAGGUAAUAGAGCCCAUGGGCCCAGAGCACAAUCUGUAGUGAGCAAAAUAUGGGUAUUGAGAACCAACCAAGAUCCUUAGAAUAGCAGCCUGUACUAUUAACCAUUGGUCUAUCUCUCCAGAACUCAGACUUUAAUUUUCAAGGAUACAGACAGGAACGUAUGAAUAACUGUCUUUCCCUAAAUGUUCCCUGACCAUUUGGCUGGAUCUCAGCAUCCCAUGUGUGUGAUUGUUCUUAAGCCAUUUUUUUUUUUAAAUCCCAGUAUCCGUCUUUGAGUAUUCUGUAAUAUAAAUGAUUAUAUUGUGGAUUCAAGGAUUACUGCCAUUUCCUUUGAAACAACAACUACAAAAAAAAAAAAAAAAAGUUUUCCAUGACAUAUUGACUAUUCCCUAGUGUCAUCUCUUAGAUGUUACAAAGCAGGAAGUUAAUUCUGUCCCAAAGUCAACUAGUUUUUCUUUAAAGAAAUUUAAAUGCAGCACAGAUAUAAAUAGGAAUCCAGAGAGAAGACAAAAAUUAAAUUAUUAAAAGUAAAAUUGAACUCUCAAUGUUAAUUAAGUAAUCUCAAACAGAACAUCAGUUACUAAGAAAACAAUCAACAAGAAGUACAGUAGGGUAUGGACAAAGGAAACCCUGAGACACUGCUGAUCAUGGUGAGAGCAGAAGAAAUGAUAUUCUGAGCUUCCCAACUGGCUAUCCAAAAGCAAGUGGUCAGCUCUGCAGUCACAUAAAUAGAAGUAACAGUGAGCAGACUGAACAGAUAAUAUUUAUAUAUUAAGGAAUAUAUGUCGUUGGUGGGUGUGUUUGUCAGUGUAAGAACAACUAAAGAAAAGGGGAAGAGAGGACAUGAAUUUAAGAGAGAGAAAUAGAGGUGCAAAAGAGAAAGAGAAGGAAAGAACAAGUCAGAGAAGAUAAUUGAGAUGUCUUAAAUGUAGAAAACAAAAGAGAAAUAUUUUAAUAUAAACAUUUUUAAUUAAAAAACAUCUGAACAUAAAUCUGCUAUAUGAGCAUACUUUGGUGUGUUAUACACAGGACCCCAGGUUAACCCAUUACAGAUGUCCUUGUAUAUCAGAGUUCAUUGUAGCACUAUUCAUCUUAGCCAAAUAUGGCACCAGAGCCACUGUUCAACAACAGAGGAAUGGAUAUGGGAAGACUGGUACAUAGUCACAAGGACAUUGUUCCAGGUGUAAAGGAAAAUGGAGCUGCGACUUUUGCCAAUAAUUAGAUGCAACUGGCGUUAGUCAUAUUAAGCAAAUUAAACUAGAUUCAGUAAUAUAAUUACUACAUGUUUUCUUUCGUUUAUUUCUUUAGUCAAAUAAAAUUCUGCAUGUAUGUUUAACAUUCAAGCUAGGUAUGACUUUGUCUAGGGUAGCAAAGGAGAUGCAGGAGGAAAGAGACAUGAGAAAAAGAGGGGUAUUAAAUAACGGGAUAGAAAGAAUCUAUUCAAUUCUUGGUAUGUGGCUGCAUGUAAACCUUUCCUAAAUAUCUUUAAAGACUAUUAAGAAGUCUGUUGAGUCCAUUAUCUUGGAUAUGUCCCCUGAUUUGUGGUCUGUCUACUAAUAUAUACAUUCCUUAAAAAAAAAAAAAAAAAAAAAAAGGACACUCCCUCUACCAAGAGCUGUCAAAUGUCAGUAGCUCCUCAGCUAAAGGUGGCUCUGUGUGUAAUGCUUCUCUCCAUAUUGAGAUAGGAAAUAGAGGACACUUAUGGGAGCAAUUGCAGAAGGAGACAAAUAGGAUCAAAACACAUUACAUGAAAUCCUCAGAGAGCAAAUAACAAUGUAAAAAACAAAAUGAAAGACUUAUUAUCAAGAGUACAUUGGUUCCGUGUUAGAUUGUUUGGAGAACUCUGGCAAUGUGCUAUUACAAACUAAAUUUCUUAGUUCUGGAAAACAGGUAGAGAUGCUUUAGUUCGUGGCACCACAAAGUAGAGAGUAUGGUAUUAAGGAGUGAAUGCUUCUAUUGCCUCCAAUUUGUAACUUUAAAGCUAUAAGGAAAUGUAGCGGUGUGUGCAGAUGAGCCCUUUAAGCAAGUAAAAUUAAAUGAACAUAUAAAUUGGUAGUAUCCUAUAAGGCUAAUCAAAUAAAUACAUUUGCAAAUUUAGUUGUGCACAAGAUUUCUCAUCCUUCCAUUCCAUGUUGACCAUGUAAAUAUGUGGUUAAUUUUGCCACCUGUGAUUUCUUUUUAAUUCAAACUUUCUCCUUGUGUUUAUAAAUUGUUUUGUGUUCAUUGGGCUAAUUUUGAAUUGUCUUCUUUUACAAAUGAAGGGUUUCUCAAUAGAUCAUGGAGUAAAAUAUUUGUCUCCUCUAAGGAAAUAGAGUAAUGAUUUUUAGAAGAUACAACAAUACAGACACACACACACACACACACACACACACACACACACGAAUGUACACUGUCCAGUUCUAAGAACAAACCUAAGAAAGCCAUACAAAAUUCAGGAAUUUUUACAGGCAAAUGGAUGUAACUGGAAAAUAUCAUCCUGAAUGAGGUAACCCAGACCUAAAAGGACAUGUGGAAAUGCGGGGAUUUAAAAAUGGAGCCAAGACUGAAAGAAAAGCCAUCUAGAGACUGCCAUUCACAGACACCAAGCCCUGACACAAUUGCAGACACCAAGAACUGCUUGCAGUCAGGAAGCAGCCCAGUAGGGCUUUCUUCUGAGAUCUUCUGCCAGCACCUAAUACAGAUGCAGACCCUGGAGACCCCAAUUGAAGAGAUUGGGAAAGAUGGCAACUCCGUAGGAAAAACAACAAUAUCAACUAACUGGACACCUCAGGGAUUAAAUCACCAACCAAAGAGUUUGCAUGGGUGGGUCCAUGGCUUCCACUAUUUGUGUAACAGAGGAUUGUCUUAUCUGGCUUCAAUGGGAGGGGAGAAGCUUGGUCCUAUGGAGGUUUGUUGCCCCAACAAAAGGGAAUGCUAGACAGGUGAGGCAGGAGUGGAUGGGUAGGUGAGGGAGUAUCCUCUUAUAGGCAAAGGGGAUGGGGGAUGAGAUGGGUUUGCAUUGGGGAGACCAGGAAGGGGGGGCAGCAUUUGAAAUGUAAAUAAAUAAAAUAAUCAAUAAAAGAAAAAAAAAACUGUGUGGAAACAUACACAAAGCUGGCUGUUUAUGAACCAGAAACAGGGUAACUAUCCUCUUAAGUUCCUUCGCUGGCUUUGUUGGUCAUGCACAUCUAGCCUGCCUGAGUAUAAGAAAGCAACGUUCUGUUGUUUCAGCCAUCCAACUGGUGGUAUUUUUAUGGAAGUCCUAGAUAGCUAAUACAGGAAUUUCCACCACAGAAAGGAGACCUGAUUUGGUUUAGAGGUGUAGUUACCUGAAGUAAUGGCCAGGUUUAGUAUUUCUCGGCAUUGCUGUUCCUACAUAGAUUUGCAUUGUUUUAUAAUUAUUGCAAGAAGUCCCUCUUUCUCUUCUUGAAUGGUGAAUAAACAGAACGAAAUUAACAUUUAUUGGACACUUAACAUGUGCCAGGCACCAUUUCGCAUGUGUCUUCUCAUUUAUUCCUAAGAAACAUCUUGCAACAUAAGUAUUAUUAUUCCAAUAAUUUUAGUUAAAGAGAUAAAAUAACUAGCCCCCACAGUCACUUAGCUAGUUAAUUGGCAGAUUUGGAUUCCGAACUGAUCAUGCUUCCCAUUUGUGAUUCUACAAAGUUUCGGGCUUUUCAUUAUUUAACGUUGAAGUGUCCUUUCAAAAUAACAGAAAACUUUCCACUAGUUCAAAUGGAGGAAAUUGAUUGUACUGGGUAUAGGCAGAUAAAAAUUUAAACAUGAUGACAAACUGACUGGGGUGAUUAGGAUAAUAGGUGGAAUUCCCCGGAGCCCAGAUUUGAAUUCCUAAUAGAAUCUGUGUGAUUCUUCUCACGUGCUCAGUGGUAUGACAUCAAGGAGAAGUUGCCUCUCAGAGCUGAAGUUAUUGGCCUCAGCUACUACUCCAAGGAGAGAUUUUCAGAAUUGCUUCAAUACAUCUGCAUUCUAGGCUUCAAUAAGUAAAAGCUUGUCACUAACAAAACCUCCGGGAAGACUGAAAGAAAGGAGCUUAGAAAAUACAUGGCAGCUAGAUAGAGAAAGGACCCAAGGAACUGAAGGGGUUUGCAACCCCAUAAGAAGAACAACAAUAUGAACUAACCAGUACGUCCAGAGCUCCCUGGGACUAAACCACCAAAGAAAACACAUGGUGGGACUCAUGGCUCUAGCUACAUAUGUAGCAGAGGUAGCCUAGUCAGUUAUCAAUGGGAGGAGAGACCCUUGAUCCUGUGAAGGUUCUAUGUUCCAGUGUAGGAAAAUGCCAGGGCCAGGAAGCAGGAGUGGGUGAGUUGGUUAACAUGGGGAGGGGGAAGGAGAUAGCAGGUUUUCAGAGGGGAAACCAGGAAAGAGGAUAACAUUUGAAAUGUUAAUAAAAAAAAUCAAAUUAAAAAAAACCAAAGAAAAUAAAACACAUGACAGAACAUGUCAGAAAGGGUACAAGUGCUGGCUCCUAGAGGAAAGAAGCAAAUGGCCUGGCCAGGCUGUACUAUGUGGCUAUUCAUCAAUGGCAGCUCAGACCUACAGUGGUUUAGAAAGUUAUGCCUUCAUGCCUUCACACCUGAGAAGGCUUCCCAAGUCACUUAGUUAAGACUGUGAGCCAAAGACAGAAUUGCAUUACUAAACAUUAAAGAACAAAUGAAUUGUUCUGAAAAACAGUGUAACUUCUCAUGUCUUGACAGUGUUCUCAUAAUUUUUAAGUUCGAUUCAGCUGGAUGUCUUUACAUGAGGUGACUACGGUUUAAAAAGAGAAGGUAAAUCCCCAUUACUAAGCAGUAUGUUAUUGGUACAGAACCACAGACUAUUGUCAAAACCAAGCUACUGAGUUGCAUUAAACCAGUAUUUACCAUGAAUGAUGGUAUAUCUUUUGAGAUGCUUGUCCUAUGAAAAACUCAUUGUCUUCUUUGCCAUCAGUGGAAACACAGAAUUAUCAUUAUGCUAUUUUAAAUUGUUUUGUGACUUCCUUAGGUAUAUCUUCUCUAAAUGAAGUGAAUGUAAAAUGUAUUACCAUAAAUAGCUCUAAGUUCAUAUUUCUAUUUUUUUACAAUUUUUAUUAGAUAUUUUCUUCAUUUACAUUUCAAAUGCUAUCCUGAAAGUCCUUUAUACCCUCCUCCAGCCCUGCUCCCCAACCCACCUACUCCUGCUUCUUAAUGGAUAUGAUUUGAUCAUUUUUUAAAGGACCAUAGUUGUAGCCUAAUCUCAUUCUCACGCA